Molecule: ribosomal RNA, 578 nt
Filed under: uncultured bacterium
Lineage: Bacteria
Description: bacterial SSU rRNA
Rfam family: Bacterial small subunit ribosomal RNA
Source: RNAcentral
CCUACGGGAGGCAGCAGUGGGGAAUCUUGCGCAAUGGCCGAGAGGCUGACGCAGCGACGCCGCGUGGGGGAUGAAGCAUUUCGGUGUGUAAACCCCUGUUGCUCGGGACGAACGACCCUUUUCGAGGGGUGUGACGGUACCGAGUGAGGAAGCACCGGCUAACUCCGUGCCAGCAGCCGCGGUAAUACGGAGGGUGCGAGCGUUGUCCGGAAUCACUGGGCGUAAAGGGCGCGUAGGUGGUUGGAUGCGCCGGUGGUGAAAGCGCAGGGCUCAACCCUGCGUCGGCCAUCGGGACGGUCCGACUGGAGCACUGUAGAGGCAGGUGGAAUUCCGGGUGUAGCGGUGGAAUGCGUAGAGAUCCGGAAGAACACCGGUGGCGAAGGCGGCCUGCUGGGCAGUUGCUGACACUGAGGCGCGACAGCGUGGGGAGCAAACAGGAUUAGAUACCCUGGUAGUCCACGCCGUAAACGAUGGGCACUAGGUGCUUGGGGGAGCGACCCCCUGAGUGCCGACGCUAACGCAUUAAGUGCCCCGCCUGGGGAGUACGACCGCAAGGUUGAACUCAAAGGAAUUGACGG